GGUCGGUUAGCUCAGCUGGUUAGAGUGUGGUGCUAAUAAUGCCAAGGUUGUGGGUUCAAUCCCCCCACUGGACCA
Chiloscyllium plagiosum (whitespotted bambooshark) is the source of this 75-nucleotide non-coding RNA. NCBI's taxonomy places the organism in Eukaryota, Metazoa, Chordata, Chondrichthyes, Orectolobiformes, Hemiscylliidae. The record is from the annotation of a RefSeq genome assembly.